RNAcentral lists this long non-coding RNA (334 nucleotides) under Prunus persica (peach). Its description in RNAcentral is "long non-coding RNA (PPER_LNC002577)". The record is from RNAcentral. Lineage: Eukaryota; Viridiplantae; Streptophyta; Magnoliopsida; Rosales; Rosaceae.
UUGCUCUCUUUUGGUUUAACCUCCACCACCUGCAUAUCUUCCUUAGCUUCUACGACCCUGGUGAUUGGUUCAGAAGAUUUCUCACCACUGUCUUUCUCUUUCUCUUUCUCUUUCUUUUCCUCCUGUUUCUCUGCUGGUUUUGAGGCGCCAUUCUCCUUCUCUUUUGUUUCUUCCUUUUUCUCUGCUGGUUUUGAGGCGCCCUUCUCCUUCUCUUUUGUUUCUUCCUUUUUCUCUUCUGGUUUUGAGGCACCCUUCUCCUUCUCUUUUGUUUCUUCCUUUUUCUCUGGUUUUGGGGGCACAAUUUCUGCAUGUUUGUGCACCUUUUUUCGUAAAU